UGUGCCUAUACAUGCAGUCGAACGCGUUGGCCCAAUUGAUUGAUGGUGCUUGCACCUGAUUGAUUUUGGUCGCCAACGAGUGGCGGACGGGUGAGUAACACGUAGGUAACCUGCCCAGAAGCGGGGGACAACAUUUGGAAACAGAUGCUAAUACCGCAUAACAACGUUGUUCGCAUGAACAACGCUUAAAAGAUGGCUUCUCGCUAUCACUUCUGGAUGGACCUGCGGUGCAUUAGCUUGUUGGUGGGGUAACGGCCUACCAAGGCGAUGAUGCAUAGCCGAGUUGAGAGACUGAUCGGCCACAAUGGGACUGAGACACGG
RNAcentral lists this ribosomal RNA (321 nucleotides) under Limosilactobacillus fermentum. RNAcentral describes it as "bacterial SSU rRNA". It matches the Rfam family "Bacterial small subunit ribosomal RNA", at positions 50 to 329 of the family's 1533-position model. Lineage: Bacteria; Bacillati; Bacillota; Bacilli; Lactobacillales; Lactobacillaceae. The record is from RNAcentral.